Molecule: ribosomal RNA, 455 nt
Filed under: uncultured bacterium
Lineage: Bacteria
Description: bacterial SSU rRNA
Rfam family: Bacterial small subunit ribosomal RNA
Source: RNAcentral
UACGGGAGGCAGCAGUGGGGAAUAUUGCACAAUGGGCGAAAGCCUGAUGCAGCUAUGCCGCGUGUAUGAAGAAGGCCUUAGGGUUGUAAAGUACUUUCAGCAGGGAGGAAAGAAUAAAACUAAUAAUUUUAUUUUGUGACGUUACCUGAAGAAGAAGCACCGGCUAACUCCGUGCCAGCAGCCGCGGUAAUACGGAGGGUGCAAGCGUUAAUCAGAAUUACUGGGCGUAAAGAGCGCGUAGGUGGUUUUUUUAAAGUCAGAUGUGAAAUCCCUAGGCUUAACCUGGAACUGCAUUUUGAAACUGAAAACUAGAGUAUCGUAGAGGGAGGUAGAAUUCUAGGUGUAGCGGUGAAAUGCGUAGAUAUCUGGAGGAAUACCUGUGGCGAAAGCGGCCUCCUAAACGAAUACUGACACUGAGGUGCGAAAGCGUGGGGAGCAAACAGGGAUUAGAUACC